This 3688-nucleotide long non-coding RNA is filed under the name Meleagris gallopavo (turkey). RNAcentral describes it as "lncRNA (ENSMGAG00000019346.1)". The record is from RNAcentral. Lineage: Eukaryota; Metazoa; Chordata; Aves; Galliformes; Phasianidae.
CCAGGCAUGGAAGUAGAAUUGCUCAAACUGCAGAAAAGCCUGCGUUAUGUUACCUCCAACAGAAACACCACAUUUCUGGCAAUGAUCUUUCAUCUGGAGGAUGUUUCCCGGGACAGGGACUCUGAGGGACGAUGUUGCCAGAAAGCUGCUGGAGGAGUUGGAGAGUGGAGGAAGCAGCUGGAAAAUAAUCCAGAUGAUGAAAAGGCUGGGCUGUGCCAAGAGCUGCUGAGGCAGAAGGAACACUACAACAGAGUUGCCAAGUGCGUUAACUGGGUAAGGCUUCUGCAAGCUGCAAGGCAUGGAGCGGUGAAAUGUGAAUUCCUCAUUGAGAAAAAGCUCAAGACACAGCUCUCAGUGAUGUGCACUGCCUUUUGGGAUGGAAAGGGGUGAUCCUUCUGGAUUUCCUAGAACUCAGACCAACACCACCAAGUCUGAUCGCUACGUUGUGAUGCUCACUAAGCUGAAAACUUGAACUUUCAGGAUCAGUCCAGAGAAGACGACAAUCUUUCUCUUGCAACAUAACAAUGCUGUGCAUCUGUUUGAAUACCACAGGUCACUUUGCCCAUCUUGUCUGGACUGUCCUAGCACAUCCACCAUGUAGUCUGGAUUUGGCACCUUCUGACUUCCAUGUGCAUGGGCAACAUUUUCCUAGCAACAAUGCCACCAUAGCAGCUGUGAAACACUGUGUCACCUCUGCUGGUACAGUUUUUUAAUGAACACAUUAAAAAAGGCACACAAGAGCAUUCAGGCUCUUGUUCAUUGCUGGUGAAAAUAUAUAGCUAAUGGUGACAAAAUAGAAUUUUGUAGCUGAUAUUUUAUUCUAUCAAGUGGUAUUAUUGUGCUCUUUGGAUCUGUUGCAGCUUCCAUGUAAAUAAAUAGGAGGCAUUACUUUUGGAGCAACCUACAUAUAUCUUAUGCUUGAAAAUGUAUCUUUCUUCUAAAAGCAACCAGUAAAGAUGAGUGCCUUAUACAGCUAUUUUAGGAAUGACAGAUGGAAUGGGGGAUAUAUAGAAAAAACAUGGCCACCUUUUGCCAUUUUGGGAAGGGAAAAUUUUUUCUCUCAGUCCUCCUCCUUGGCCAUGCAAAGAUAGCAGAAAUCUUGUAUAGAGCACUGGAGUUCAAAGUAUAAUGGCCAUCACGGAUCACUAGUGUCUCGAGACCACUGAGUAGCAUUUCAGACCUCCUAUACUUUUCAAAAAUUCUCAUGUUUCUGAGACUAUGUAAGCAGGCAUUUCUUCCUGUCUCUGAUUAAUUCAUGAAAUGAUACUUGCAGUGUAUAUUACAGCAACAGUUAAUUUGGAAAGAGCUCUGCAGUCCAGGAAGGCAUCUUUUCUUCUUCUUCCAACUUCAUUGUAUAUUAUGGAGCAUCAUGACUUCCUUCUGAACAAAACUUGCACAACCUCUGGGUCACGUAAGCAAGAGUGGUUUGGUCAACCACAGCAGGAGUGAGAAUGAAACUCUUGGAAGUCCUGACUUUGGGUUUGUUGGGCUGAUUAGGGAGCGAAACUCUGAACUGAGAGCAGUAGCUGUUGACUUUAUAAUGGGUAUUAAAGAAGUGCUGGUCACAGACCAGUGUACAUUUUUGUCAGUCUUUAGUCCAUAGUGGGCUGGGAGGAGAAAGAAAUGGAGAGGAGAAAGCGAGGUGGGAAAAAGCAAUAUUCCUUUGUAAAGAAAUGAUGAAACAGUUAUGUUUGUAUCUCAAGAACUUAUUCCAAGAUUGAUAACUCGCUGGAGGAGAGCUGAUGACUUAUGGCAGUAUUUGAAUAUUGCACUGAAUUUAUGUUACUUGGCAACGGUAGCCUGCAUUAACAGAGCAGCAUGCCUCCUGGCUGGUCCAGCCUGUAUCCCUUCAAUCAAGCAUAGUGACGUGCCAGGCAGAGCUUAUAUCUGAGGCCUCUAUUAAAUUCCUUGUAAAAUUUCAGUGCAGCUGCUUCUCACAAAGUUAAAGGCUAUUUUAACCAUAUAUCUUUUCAGAAAUACUCUCAUAACUCAGGAAGGACCCUUGCUUCUCCUUCAGGGCCACGAAAGGCUUAGCACAUCUGGUGUUAUUAUACCUCCCUGCAGGGUCCGAGGCGCUGUGUUAUGCACAGUAUGCCAGAAUGGAAGUGAAGUGCUUUUGCUGCAUCCCAGGAAUUUCUCCUUUCCAUCAUAGGUGGGGGACAAGUGUUUCUCAUAGUGUUAAAGAGGCAUACGUACAGAAAAAAUCACAAAAAAGAAUAGUGUUAACUAGGAAUAGCUGAUCUUCAACGAUUUGUUCAAAAGGCUUUCCCCAUUAACUUGCCUGUCUUUCUCUCAGGCCUAUUUGCUUAGGUUGUAUCUUUUUUAAUAAUAAGAAAUCUAAAUAAAUGAACAGCAAGCAACCAAAGACCCAGCAUUACAUUUGCGUUUCACCAGGGACUGCUCAGAACGAAGAUAAUCAAAGCAGCUCCAGGCUUCUCAGAGACAUCUUAAGGUAAAUCAUAAUCCCUCCACCCCUCACUCUACUCUCUCUGUGGUGUGCUGAAGGAAGGAUUUGUGUAAUGAUCAUCCCUGACCAGGUUUUGGGGGGCUGGAGGGGAUGAGGGAGUUGCUGCAGAGCUGAAUGUAGCUCAGACCUGGAGAACACACCCAUUUAAUCAUGUUCACAUGCUUCUCCUUCUGAGCAGGGUAUUAGAAACAGUCUAUGAGAGUUGUUGGAAAGUUGUGCGCUUCUGUUCCUUUCCUGCUGGUGGGAAUGUGCUGUUUGAAAGGACAAAUGUGUUACAUGUGCCACUGCAAAUUGGUUCAGCGUGGCAUUUAGAGCCAGAUUAAAAACACGUACCCUUGAAAAAAAGAGGCCAUUAAAAUCAGGAGCUUUACAUGGUAGCAGUUUUAGAAGCUGAUGGUGUCCAUGUCAGAGGAAGUAAAUGCCCCAAGAACUUCCACAAGAGAAGAGUUACCCUGAGACAGACAGUGCUCAUAUGAAAGCUUUUGAAAACUGUAUUUUCUAAAAUCUAUUUGAUAGUGUUGUGAGCUGAAAGAGGAGAACAACUCUGUUGAAACAUAGUAAGGAGUGCAGAGUUGUCUACAUCCCUUGCUCUCAUGCCAUCACGAAUUACCUACUUACUGAUUAACUCUUAUCUAUGAAUUUUGAAGAAAAAAAAAAAAAAAAGUAGAGAGUAAUAAUGAAACUGUUAUACUGAUUUUGGUUGCAAAAAGAAAAAAAACACAAUAGUUUGCUAAAGAUCGUUUCAGUCAUAAUCAACCUCAGAUAAAUUUGCAUGACAAUACAGCACAACUAGAAUGCUUUGCACUUACCCUAACUAUAUCAUGAGAAGAUUAAUUUUGAGACAGCCACAAUCUGAAACUCCGCAGUUACACCGAGUCAUAGUUCCCAGACCAAGGCAGUUCAGCUGAAGACUUCUGAAUGUCAUUCCCAUUGCUCCUUCACUGAAAAACCUUGCCUCUUGUUAGAAACAAGACUGAACAAAUCAUUUAUAGAGAUCAGAAGUCUGGCGACUCUGAAGGGCUGAUUUUAGAGAUUCCUGAGUUUGGUUUUGUUUACCCCAAGAUGAAUUGGGCAUGUCAGUUUAACUUAGAAAUUGAACAGUUUUUGCUUUUACAAAGAAUAAAUUACUAUUGGCUGCUUGAGUUUUUGAAGAUUUUUAGUAAAUAAAUGACAAGAGUUGCAAAGCUGUAGUUUGAAACAAUGUGUUUUUUUUUUCUUUUG